UACGUAGGGUGCAAGCGUUAAUCGGAAUUACUGGGCGUAAAGCGUGCGCAGGCGGUUGUGCAAGACAGAUGUGAAAUCCCCGGGCUUAACCUGGGAAUUGCAUUUGUGACUGCACGGCUAGAGUGUGUCAGAGGGGGGUAGAAUUCCACGUGUAGCAGUGAAAUGCGUAGAUAUGUGGAGGAAUACCGAUGGCGAAGGCAGCCCCCUGGGAUUACACUGACGCUCAUGCACGAAAGCGUGGGGAGCAAACAGG
RNAcentral lists this ribosomal RNA (253 nucleotides) under uncultured bacterium. RNAcentral describes it as "partial 16S ribosomal RNA". It matches the Rfam family "Bacterial small subunit ribosomal RNA", at positions 524 to 776 of the family's 1533-position model. The record is from RNAcentral.